RNAcentral lists this non-coding RNA (158 nucleotides) under Neobacillus bataviensis. RNAcentral's name for it is "Bacillus bataviensis SAM-I sequence". It matches the Rfam family "SAM riboswitch aptamer (S box leader)". From Rfam's summary of the family: The SAM riboswitch is found upstream of a number of genes which code for proteins involved in methionine or cysteine biosynthesis in Gram-positive bacteria. RNAcentral also lists the same sequence under 1 other name. The record is from RNAcentral. Lineage: Bacteria; Bacillati; Bacillota; Bacilli; Caryophanales; Bacillaceae.
CUCUUAUCAUGAGCUGGCUGAGGGAUUGGCCCUUUGAAGCCCAGCAACCGACCGUAAAUUCAUUUGUUAAAUGGAGCGUUAGUUUAGCGCGGGGGUAAUACCCUAAUUCGGCACGGUGCUAAUUCCAACAGAAGGAUUUACUUUCUGAGAGAUAAGAG